CAGCCGCCGCGGUAAUACGUAGGGUGCAAGCAUUAAUCGGAAUUACUGGGCGUAAAGCGUGCGCAGGCGGUUUGUUAAGACAGAUGUGAAAUCCCCGGGCUCAACCUGGGAACUGCAUUUGUGACUGGCAAGCUAGAGUGUGGCAGAGGGGGGUGGAAUUCCGCGUGUAGCAGUGAAAUGCGUAGAUAUGCGGAGGAACACCGAUGGCGAAGGCAGCCCCCUGGGCCAACACUGACGCUCAUGCACGAAAGCGUGGGGGGCAAACAGGAUUAGAUACCCCUGUAGUCCCUGUCUCUUAUAA
This 301-nucleotide ribosomal RNA is filed under the name uncultured bacterium. Its description in RNAcentral is "partial 16S ribosomal RNA". It matches the Rfam family "Bacterial small subunit ribosomal RNA", at positions 509 to 809 of the family's 1533-position model. The record is from RNAcentral.